This 440-nucleotide ribosomal RNA is filed under the name uncultured bacterium. Its description in RNAcentral is "partial 16S ribosomal RNA". It matches the Rfam family "Bacterial small subunit ribosomal RNA", at positions 339 to 795 of the family's 1533-position model. The record is from RNAcentral.
CUACGGGACGCUCCAGUGAGGAAUAUUGCACAAUGGGGGGAACCCUGAUGCAGCAACGCCGCGUGGAGGAUGACGCAUUUCGGUGUGUAAACUCCUUUUUUAUGUCAAGAAAAUGACGGUAGCAUAUGAAUAAGCACCGGCUAACUCCGUGCCAGCAGCCGCGGUAAUACGGGAGGGUGCAAGCGUUACUCGGAAUCACUGGGCGUAAAGGACGCGUAGGCGGGUUGGAAAGUCAGGUGUGAAAUCCUACAGCUUAACUGUAGAACUGCACUUGAAACUUCUAAUCUAGAGUAUGGGAGGGGGAGAUGGAAUUAGUGGUGUAGGGGUAAAAUCCGUAGAUAUCACUAGGAAUACCUAAAGCGAAGGCGAUCUCCUGGAACAUUACUGACGCUAAGGCGUGAAAGCGUGGGGAGCAAACAGGAUUAGAUACCCUCGUAGUC